AUACAGAUGACGAGUCCCAAAUAGGACGAAACGCGCGUCCUGGAC
Molecule: non-coding RNA, 45 nt
Filed under: Schistosoma mansoni
Lineage: Eukaryota; Metazoa; Platyhelminthes; Trematoda; Strigeidida; Schistosomatidae
Source: RNAcentral